This 251-nucleotide ribosomal RNA is filed under the name uncultured prokaryote. RNAcentral's name for it is "partial 16S ribosomal RNA". It matches the Rfam family "Bacterial small subunit ribosomal RNA", at positions 525 to 775 of the family's 1533-position model. The record is from RNAcentral.
ACGUAGGAGACGAGCGUUAUCCGGAAUUACUGGGCGUAAAGCGCGAGUAGGCGGAAGUGCAAGUCUUUUGUGAAAGCUCCUGGCUAAACUGGGAGAGGUCGAAAGAUACUGCACAUCUGGAGUAUGGAAGAGGGGUGCGGAAUUCCGGGUGUAGUGGUGAAAUGCGUAGAUAUCCGGAGGAACACCAGUGGCGAAGGCGACUUGCUGGGCCUGAACUGACGCUCAGACGCGAAAGCAUGGGGAGCGAACGG